UCCUGCUUGUGGCAAGGCAGUCCCAUUAGAAAUAUAUAACUAAUGGCGUGGGUUGCGCUCGAUCACGGACUUAACCGAACACCUCAAGGCUCGAGCUGACGACAACCAUGCAGCACCUGUCUUAGCAUUCCCUUGCGGGCACUCCAACAUUUCUGCCGGAUUUGCUAGAUGUCAAGACCUGGUAAGGUUUCUCGCUUACUGUCGAAUUAAACCACAUGCUCCACCGCUUGUGUGGGUCCCCGUCUAUUUCUUUGAGUUUUAGCCUUGCGGCCGUACUACUCAGGCGGAGAACUUAACGCGUUAGCUUAGGCACAGGGAGGAUUGACUCCCCCUACACCGAGUUCUCAUCGUUUAGGGCGUGGACUA
This 366-nucleotide unclassified non-coding RNA is filed under the name uncultured bacterium. Its description in RNAcentral is "contains 16S-23S intergenic spacer region". The record is from RNAcentral.